ACUGCCACGUCAUCACAUACGUCGCCCAUCAUGAACGGUCCAGAUUCAACGAGGUUGAAAGGAAGGGAAAUCCUUAAGACGGGACCCCAUUCGCAGUCUCACUCCAGUUCUUCGUCUCCGAGAGAAAUGGCUUCAUGGAAUUCAGUUCCUAUGGAGAUCCUCUACCAGCUAUUAGGAUGGAGUGCUAUCAUAUGCUGGGCGCUCGCCUCAUAUCCGCAGAUCAUUCUGAAUUUCUGGCGAAAAAGUGUUGUAGGAUUGAGCUUUGAUUUUGUGAUGCUGAAUUUCACGAAGCAAUCGUCGUAUUUGAUUUACAACGCGAGUCUGUUCUUCAGCGCUACUGUUCAGAGGCAGUACUUCGAGAAAUACGGCUUCGAUCAGAUGAUACCGGUGGCUUUGAGCGAUGUGUUCUUCCCCUCGCACUCGAUUUUAUUGAUCUUCAUCGUUUCAGUUCAGAUCUUUUUAUUUGAAUGUGGCGACCAGAAGGUCUCGAACUCAGCCGUCGCCAUCUUCGCUGCAGUAUGGGUUUUUGCAGCUGCUUGCUUUUUUAUAGCUCUGCCUACUCAUUCAUGGCUUUGGCUUGUCUCCAUGUUCAAUUCAAUUCAAGUUCUUAUGACAGUCAUCAAAUACUCCCCUCAGGCAUUUUUGAACUUUACCCGAAAGAGCACGAUGGGAUUCAGCAUUCAUACUGUAGUUCUAGACUUCAUUGGAGGAGUGGCCACUUUGACUCAAAUGGGCGUGCAGUCAAUUGACCAAGGUUCUUGGGUGAACUUCUUUGGAAAUAUAGGGAAGCCAUUGUUAGCUUCAGUCUCUAUAGUGUUUGAUCUGAUUUUCUUCUAUCAACAUUUUGUAUUAUAUCGUGUCAAGGCAUCAAAGGUUUCAUCUCAACGUGACCCUGAAAGCACUGAGGCAUUGCUUGAGAACUCUGAUCACUUGCAAGGGAUUGCCACAACCAAUUGAUAUUUGAUGGUAUUGCUUCCACCUCUUAGCUUAUUUUCGUGCCAAGAGGCGCAACAACGUAGCCCGGUAAAUUAGGAGAUUGGUGGCUAAGAUUGAGCAUUCUGGCGCUUGGGUUUGUCACUGACAUUAUUCUUGUGCGUGAUGAUUGGUGUUUAUUUUAGUUGGAUUCAAGUAUUUUUGAUGUUGAAUUGAGUCUGUUUUUGGCUGCUGGAGUUUAAGAAUGUAAAAAUAUAUUAUUCUCGACUCAAAAGCACGGUUAAGAAUGUAAAAAUAGAUAUCGAAGUAAUUCUUUAUCGACUUUUGAAGUACUUAUAAUUAAAGCAUUUUACAUAAAAGCACUUUUUGUAGCAUUAUCGAACAAGUACAAAACGACGUUCGAUUUUUCACUUUGAACAACCUAUCUUCACAGUCCACAUGCCAUUUUUUUCGGUUCUUCAGGAGAAUUAUAUGAUUUUACUGUGGAGUUGGUGACCUCUAUAAUUUCUCCUUGAUGAUUGAUGAUGAAAUUGUGUCUUUUUGUAUGAAGCUCAUAAUACCUGCUUGUUCUUAGUUGUUGAGAUCUUGCGCCUUUGUUGACCUGUAAUUGAUUUUUCUUUUGUUC
Cucurbita moschata (crookneck pumpkin) is the source of this 1558-nucleotide RNA transcript. It is a transcript of the gene named cystinosin homolog, with no coding region annotated. The record is from RefSeq and is a predicted model, not a curated record. Lineage: Eukaryota; Viridiplantae; Streptophyta; Magnoliopsida; Cucurbitales; Cucurbitaceae. The transcript is spliced from 9 exons.